CAGAAAUGGGGGCUCCAUUGAGGACAAAGAAAACAUUUCGGAUCGUCUUAUCGCUCAUUGAAGCAGUCAUCCUUUGGCCUGAAGAGUGCUCCUAAUUCUU
Molecule: microRNA precursor, 100 nt
Filed under: Amborella trichopoda
Lineage: Eukaryota; Viridiplantae; Streptophyta; Magnoliopsida; Amborellales; Amborellaceae
Description: MIR319 microRNA precursor family
Rfam family: MIR319 microRNA precursor family
Source: Rfam by way of RNAcentral